This 1181-nucleotide ribosomal RNA is filed under the name Bacillus sp. SLAW-K2-5. Its description in RNAcentral is "bacterial SSU rRNA". It matches the Rfam family "Bacterial small subunit ribosomal RNA", at positions 35 to 1204 of the family's 1533-position model. Lineage: Bacteria; Bacillati; Bacillota; Bacilli; Caryophanales; Bacillaceae. The record is from RNAcentral.
GUGGGGGGGGUGCUAUACAUGCAAGUCGAGCGGACAGAAGGGAGCUUGCUCCCGGAUGUUAGCGGCGGACGGGUGAGUAACACGUGGGUAACCUGCCUGUAAGACUGGGAUAACUCCGGGAAACCGGAGCUAAUACCGGAUAGUUCCUUGAACCGCAUGGUUCAAGGAUGAAAGACGGUUUCGGCUGUCACUUACAGAUGGACCCGCGGCGCAUUAGCUAGUUGGUGGGGUAAUGGCUCACCAAGGCGACGAUGCGUAGCCGACCUGAGAGGGUGAUCGGCCACACUGGGACUGAGACACGGCCCAGACUCCUACGGGAGGCAGCAGUAGGGAAUCUUCCGCAAUGGACGAAAGUCUGACGGAGCAACGCCGCGUGAGUGAUGAAGGUUUUCGGAUCGUAAAGCUCUGUUGUUAGGGAAGAACAAGUGCGAGAGUAACUGCUCGCACCUUGACGGUACCUAACCAGAAAGCCACGGCUAACUACGUGCCAGCAGCCGCGGUAAUACGUAGGUGGCAAGCGUUUUCCGGAUUAUUGGGCGUAAGGGCUCGCAGGCGGUUUCUUAAGUCUGAUGUGAAAGCCCCCGGCUCAACCGGGGAGGGUCAUUGGAAACUGGGAAACUUGAGUGCAGAAGAGGAGAGUGGAAUUCCACGUGUAGCGGUGAAAUGCGUAGAGAUGUGGAGGAACACCAGUGGCGAAGGCGACUCUCUGGUCUGUAACUGACGCUGAGGAGCGAAAGCGUGGGGAGCGAACAGGAUUAGAUACCCUGGUAGUCCACGCCGUAAACGAUGAGUGCUAAGUGUUAGGGGGUUUCCGCCCCUUAGUGCUGCAGCUAACGCAUUAAGCACUCCGCCUGGGGAGUACGGUCGCAAGACUGAAACUCAAAGGAAUUGACGGGGGCCCGCACAAGCGGUGGAGCAUGUGGUUUAAUUCGAAGCAACGCGAAGAACCUUACCAGGUCUUGACAUCCUCUGACAACCCUAGAGAUAGGGCUUUCCCUUCGGGGACAGAGUGACAGGUGGUGCAUGGUUGUCGUCAGCUCGUGUCGUGAGAUGUUGGGUUAAGUCCCGCAACGAGCGCAACCCUUGAUCUUAGUUGCCAGCAUUUAGUUGGGCACUCUAAGGUGACUGCCGGUGACAAACCGGAGGAAGGAGAGGAUGAUCUCGGCUCAUCACGCCCGCUG